This 4418-nucleotide long non-coding RNA is filed under the name Populus trichocarpa (black cottonwood). Its description in RNAcentral is "long non-coding RNA (PTRI_LNC004074)". The record is from RNAcentral. Lineage: Eukaryota; Viridiplantae; Streptophyta; Magnoliopsida; Malpighiales; Salicaceae.
CGUAAUCCUUCCACUGCCAAGAGCGGGAGGUAUUCGCUGCUCUGUGAAACCAGCCUCACGCUGUGCCCUCCACUCUAGGAGUCAUGACACCCCAGUUUACAGGAGGAUGCCAUGGCUCAACUCAUGGCUUGGAACGGGCAGGCCAGAUUCGAGCCCCACCGAACUCAGUUAUCUAAGCUAAGGCAACGUUCCAUCACAUCAAAGCUCCCACUUGGGUCACAAGCCCACGUUACUGAGCUCAGCAGAUCUGCUAUGGGGAUGAACGAGUGUUGUAAAGUAGUGGUAUGUUUUCUUUUCUUUCAAUGUGGGAUUUCAUUCACACCUCAAUCAGGUGGUUUAUGGGGGGAAUCUGUCAAAGAAAACACUGCACUGAAAAUAAAAACGAAUAAGAUAUUGAACCCAAAUCGCAUUGAAAAUAAAAACGAAUAAGAUAUUGAACCCAAAUCGCAUUGAUUGUGACAAGCAUUGUGCUGGGGGGGUUAUUAGACAUUGGAGAGGAUGUGGAGUGUCAAGUUCGUGGCUCUAAUCAAAGACAAACAAUGGACCAUGGUUACGUCAACUUUAGAUGAAGAGAAAGUAGAAGGGCCUAGAUGGAUGGAAUGUGGUUCAAUUAUAUUUUUAAAAAAUUUUGAUUUUUUUUAUUUUAAUUUAAUUUUUUUUGGAUGUUUUUGAACCGUUCUGAUUUACUAAAAUUAAAAAUAAAUUUUAAAAAAUAAAAAUAUUUUAAUUUAUUUUCAAACAAAAACAUUUUAAAAAAUAACUUCUACGAUCUCGUAGAAUAAUUGCAUGCUAAUCUCAAAAUAAAGCAAGAAUCUUGUGAGGUCACGGGAUAGGAAUUCAUUCUAUAAGCAAGGUAUGGAUGGCUAGAAACACACAGGAUGGAUGGAUUUUAAGCCCUCUGUGCUACAAAUGAGAUUCCACUCUUUCUGCGAGAAAAUGCCAAUACUCUAAAGUAAAUAAGAGAUAAACUUCGUUAAGAUCUAGAAAAACCUUAAUUCCUUCUAAGAUAAUCAUAAAGCAUGUCUGGACGCUAUGGAGGCCCUCUCUGUUUACGGUCAAAGACAAAAAAAAUGAAGCCAUUUUCAUUAGAUUAUGAUUUGAUUGACAAAGGAAUCUCUUUUGCUUGACUGGUACGUGUCCGAUCUCAGCGGCAGUCCAUUUUCUUCCACUGGCACCUGUUACGUCAUUGCACUAGCAUUUGGCAACUUGUUGUGUCUUUUAAACCUUUAUCAAACCCGGCUCGGGAUUGAACCGGUCAAAGAAUUGAGCUCUAGUUAUACAGGUUGAUUUAAAUAAACCUAAAUCAACUUGAAAAAAUUAAAAAAUAAUAUAUGUUAUUCAUGUUAUAAAUAAUUAGAUUUUAAAAAAUAUUUUAAAAUGUUUUCUAAUCCACGUAAAAAAAAACAUAAUUUUUUUAUUGUGAGCAUUGAAUAUAUAAAGAGCUUCAAAUAUAAAAAUAAAACAUAUUUUUAUUAUUUUAUAUUUAUAUAAUGAACUUUAAAUUAAUAAUUAACUGAAAAAAACAUAAAAAAAAGAAUUUUUGAUAGGAUGAAAACUACAUUUGAACAAAAAAAAAAAAAAAAUAUCUACCAAAUUUUAACGGAUCACCUAAAUUCCAGGUUGAUUCAACCAGUCAAAUAAUUUUCUCCAGGCUAACCCAAGAUUCAUGACUCUGUCGAAGAUUCGUAAAACAAAAAAGAAACGAUUACAAAUUAAAAAAAGUGACGGUCCAAUUAGACCAGCUCUUCAAGCCAUGCAGAUCCAGUUGGCACCGGCCCGUAAUCCUUCCACUGCCAGGAGCGGGAGGUGAUCGCUGCUCUGUGAGACCAGCCUCACGCUGUGCCCUCCCCUCUAGGAGCCAGAACACCCAGGUCUUCACUAGGAUGCCUUGGCUCAACUCCUGGCUUGGAACGGGCGGGUCAGAUAAGAGACAGCCUGAACCCGACCUUACGUGCAUAGUCCACGUCCCAUCACUUUAAAGCCCCCACUCAGGUUACAAGCCCGCGUUACCGAGCUCAGCUGGUAAGCAUGUGUCAGGAUUAGGUAUAUAACAUUCAUAUAUUUUUCCUUUCUUUCCGAUGUGGGAUGUUCCUCUCUUACGUGUUCAUUAGGGAAAAAGCUUUGAAUGAGCAAAAAUCUCGGGGCAUAAAAGGUAAUAGAUUCAGGAAGGAGAGGAUUCUCCACUUUCUGGAGAAUCUUGCACUAGGUAAACAACAAGAGAAAUUACAUCAUGAACAAUAACUCACGUUCAUGUGUUACCAAACAGCUUGUAGCUUCAAAUCGCAGGAAACGUGGACGCCACCACGUUGCCAAACGGACUCUAAGUCAAUGCAUACUUUUUUUUUUUUUUCAACGUUGGACAAGUAGAAGUGGUGAAAGGGUUGCAUAAAAUUGAAAGAUGAUUGAUUAAUGAAUCAAUGGCAGCAAAAGUUAAGAUCAUGAACCUUGAUGGCUGUAGAACCAUUGCUUUGAAAACAACUCUUUAAUGUAUAUCUUCGACAAUCAUGAUUUAAUUAAAAACAUGAAAAUGAAGAGAAAAAAAGAAUCUCGUUGUCCAUUUGCUGUCAAACUAUGCUGUUCGAAACUCCAGGAGUAGCCUCUUACAUAAGAGAUAACCCUAAAACCAAUAUGGCUGUAACACCAGCAUAAACAGAAAAAAUGGAAGUUAAACCUCACAUUCCUGUGAAGGCCUUCUUCCCACUACAUGGAAAUAUACUACAAAUGAAAUUCCACUAUUUCUGCAAGAAAAUGCCAGUAUUUUAAAGUAAAUAAGAGAGAAACUUUGUUUAGAUCUAGAAAAACCUUAAUUUUCCUAUUAUUAACUAGAACUAAAUAGUGUGGUGUUUUUACUAUGCCCUGCCUCAAUUGUUCAUCCUCUUAUAUUUUACUGUAGAUAGACUAUGUAAAAUUUUAUAUUUUUUUUUUGUACUCGAAUUGUUUUUGGGCAAUUUAGUCUUAAUUAAAAAACAAUUGAUUUUAAAUUCUUAUGAAAAGAUGGGGUUGGAAGAGGGGAGAAUAAAAUGAAAAACACGGCAAACAUGAGUGACGAGCUAUAAGUUUCCAAUUCUAUUUUGGUACAAAAAAAUUAUUUUUGUUAUUUUUUCAUAUUUUUAUUAUUUUAAUUAAUGCUUCUUUUUUAAAAAAAAAAAAAAACUUAAUUAUUUGUACAUUGAUACUCCUCUUUUUUAUUAUGUUUAGAAAGCCUCUUUUAGAUGAAGGUGAUUUUUAGUUAUGUGUUUAAUUUUUGAAAAUAUUUUUCUAAUUCAUCUAUGAUAUAUAUUUUUUUAUCUUUUUUAUAGAUGAACUAUAUUUUUAAAAAUAAAAAAUAUUAAUUUUCAGAUGAUAUUUUCAAUAUGUGUAGCCUUGUAUAUUAUUCAUGUUCUCCUUUUAUUUUAUUCAAUCAAUUUAAUAUGUUUGUCUAUUUUUAUUAUCAUUUGAUUAAAUAAAAAAUAUUUUAAUAAAUAAAAAUUAGCAAACAUGAUCGGGUUGAAGUCCCGUUUUACGAGAUUAAAUAUCUUAAUCUAAAUCUGCUACGAUUUUUCUAGUUUUAUGUUUAGAUGUUGUUAAUUAUUAUUUAUUAGAGUACAUAGUUUUCAAUUUAUUUAAUUAUAUCCGUGAAUAAAUUUUUUGAAUUGCAUAUACAUUUUUUUAUUUAUAAAAAUACAUAGAGAAACUUGUAUAUAAAAAAUAAAAAUAUUUAUUCAUGGACAAGUACAAGUUACAUAACUAGUGAUAAUCAUAAAACAUGUCAUGAUGCCAUGGUGGCACUCACUGUAUAUGGUCAAAGACAAAAAAAUGAAGCCAUUUUCAUUAGAUUAUGAUUUGAUUGACAAAGGAAUCUUUUUUGGCUGACUGGUACUAUCUCAGGCAGCAGUCCAUUUUCUUCCACCUUCCACUGAGUCACUGACAGCUGAUGUGCCAUGCUCAUUUCGGGUAGUUGGUAUAAAAACAAAAAUCAAAAACUUAAUCGAACCGCUAUGCCAAAUGGACUCUGAACCAUGAAUUGGGUCACCUGUUACGUCAUUGCUAGUUUUAAACCGCUAUGUUGAACAUAUAAACAAAAAAAAUGAUAAAAGUGAUGGUUCAAUUAGAUCAGCCCAUCAGGCCAUGCGGAUCCAGGUGGCACCGGCCCGUAAUCCUUCCACUGCCAGGAGCGGGAAGUGAUCGCUGCUCUGUGAGACCAGCCUCACGCUGUGCCCUCCCCUCUAGGAGCCACGACACCCAGGUCUUCACUAGGAUGCCUUGGCUCAACUCCUGGCUUGGAACGGGCGGGCCAGAUAAGAAACAGCCUGAACCCGACCUUACGUGCAUAGUCCACGUCCCAUCACUUUAAAGCCCCCACUCGGGUUACAAGCCCGCGUUACCGAGCUCAGCUGGUAAGCGUGUGUCAGGGUUAGUUUUAUAAAGUUCAAAUAUUG